GUCGGGGGAUGAAAAAUCAUGAAACCUGAGUCGAUAUCUUUAGCUUAAGUAUAACACAUAGACUCCAACCGAACACCAAACUGGAAACAUCAACAUCAUUGCAUUGCUGAACCAACGAGUCGUAGCCCCUCAAAUUGCUAAGAACUCGACGCACACCACCAGGCCCGGCUGUAAUUUUAGUAAUCAAUCUAGUGGACGACUAAAUAAACAGAAAAUACAUAAUGUUGGAGUAAAUAGUGUGUUCCCAAUGACCAACCCCAUGUGCAUAUCAAUAUUGCUACCUAGCGGCAAACUUCAUUAACCAGGAACACGCACUGACUGUCUGCCCCCUGCUAUGACGUUAGAGGAAUUUUAAGAGGAAGUAAGUCACCUGGAUGAUCCCGUUUUUUCAUUCCAUCUGACGAUGAUUCAGUUAACUAUAACGAAAUUAGCGAGGCAGAGGAGAAAAAUAAUACAGAAAAGGCAGAUACUGACAUAAUUUUUUCGGGAGACUUUGAUUCUGUGAGUGAUUCUCCCCUUUCAGAAGUAACACUGGAAAUUCAAAUACGCAACAAUAUAACUCCACAGUUUGAUGCUGAGCGUUAUUAUGCUGAACCUACAUGGAAUAAUGCUAAUGUAAAUAAGCAACCUCAAAAUUUAAAAAUAAUUUUUCAAAUACCUCAAUUUGUAAAUAAUGUGAAUAAAAAAGCAGCAGCGUACAUUUUCAGACUGUUUCUAAUAGAUCGAUUAGUAGAUCAGCCAACUUAUAUGCCCAAAAGAAUUUAAAAUCAGGAAUGAGUUUGUUUCAACUACAAAACAAGUAGAAACUUUUAUUUUAAUUAACUACUGAUGUUCAUCAGCAGACUUAAAUGAUUUCUACAUAAGUAGCAAAAUGUCUUUGAGUAGAUUCAGUUGGUUCCUGGCGAACAUCCAUUGGAACGACAAUAGCAAUAUUCUUUCAAGGAGUCAUGCAAAUUAGAAUAAAUUGCAUAAAUUGGGGCCAUUCGUUGAGAAAAAAUUCCUAAUAAGUUUUAAAAACAACUUUAAUCUUUCGACGUGUAUUGCUACUGAUGAGACAAUGGUUAAAUUUAAAGGCAGGAAAGUUUAAAGUAAUAAAAAACCUAUAAAGAAGAGGCUGCAAAAUCUAGAUUCUUGCUGAUCAAUCAAAAUAUGGUUAGAACAUUCAAUUUUAUACAGGAAAAGUUGAAGGAUCUCUGGCUUCAAGAGUAGUUAUGGAUCUUAGAUGUAUUGGAUUUGUCAGGAUUUAUGUAAUAAAAAUCAUCGUUUAUAUAUAGGCGUGCCGCUUUUUGAAGACUUACUUACAAACAAAAUUUAUGCUUGUGGAAACAUAAACAUAAGUCGUCGAUUUAUACCAAAAUUUGUAAGUGAUAAACAAAUAAAGAGGGGAGAAUAUAAAGAACUUAUCAGUGACUCCAAUUUAGUGGCAGUUAAGUGGAAAGAUAAUUGGGGUGUACAUUUAUUAUCGAACAUCCAACAACCCCACGAUGCAGUACACAAUAAACACAGACAAAGAGAUCACAGGUUUUAUACAUUUUUAGAAGGAAAUCCACAAUUAAGUUUAAGAGCUACAAGUCCAAUGAAGACGGUUGGGUUUCAUCAACCUCAAGUUAAACUAUUUUUCGAUAAAUCAGAAGUAUCGAUGAACAAAUGUUCGUUUUCACACUCAAAUUGGCUGGCAUUUCUUGCGUUCAUAAAAACCCCAAGGUUUUAUUAUCGAUAAAAGGAAAACACCAAGUAGGUAAAUUGGCAUGUGGUGAAAGAGGCGAAAACAUUUUACUGUUCGGUAUGAAUACAAUAGGACAAUUUUUCCUCCAUUAUUCAUUUUUCCACGUCAACGCAUGAUGAUUGCAUGAUUACGAGACUACAGUUGGAUGGAUGCACAGCGCAUGAAACGUCAAGUAAAAUUUACAAAUCCCACUGAGGAAAAUCCUAUUCUUCUCAUCCAUAUGUUAAGCACACCACACACAAGCGGAAUAAUCCCGGAAUACGAGGACUUGUAUGAUAUUACUUCCAUUGUCUCCGAAGCAUACGCCAAGGUCUACAGGUUAGAUGUAGCACAAAAUCAACUUUAAUGCACGGGAAUUUUUCCAUACAAUGCUAAUAUUUUUACUAAACUGAAUGCUCUUCCCUCUUUGAUGACAAAUAUUCCUAAAGUUAAUUUGUCAAUUGAGCCUGACUUCACAACGUUACCAGAAGUAAGAUCUUCCAUUCAGAAUGUAAAUGUUGUAAAACCUAAUAGAUUUAUGGCCAGUUUACGAUCAACAAGUAGCAUAUGCAAUUCUUCAAAAGUCAAUAUCCUUCUGUUGUUAUCAGGCCUUCAACUAGCAUUAUCACAAAAUUACACAAAACACAGAAACAAAAAACAGUCGCACCAUAAACUUUAUUCUUCAACAAUCGUUCCAGUUACAGUUCGUUACAGUUCCAGACACAACCAACCGACGUCUUUAAUCACGUAAAAUAAAUUCAGGGACCAACCUUAGGUUAACGUCAACCCCCUACAAAGACAAUCUUGAAACCUAACCUAACCUAACCCUCUACAAGGACAAUCUUGAAAAGAAAAAGAUCAUAGAAAGUUAGAAAGUCUUCAAAAG
Long non-coding RNA from Agrilus planipennis (emerald ash borer), 2591 nucleotides. RefSeq lists it as uncharacterized. The transcript has 3 exons. NCBI's taxonomy places the organism in Eukaryota, Metazoa, Arthropoda, Insecta, Coleoptera, Buprestidae. The record is from RefSeq and is a predicted model, not a curated record.